GUGCUUGUUUGGACAGUGCAUAUACUAAAAUUGAAGUGAAAGAGAAAAAUUAGCUUGGCCCCUUAGGAAGAAUGACAUACAAAUUUGUAAAGAAUUUCAUAUUGUU
This is a small nuclear RNA of Mustela putorius furo (domestic ferret), 106 nucleotides long. The record is from Ensembl. NCBI's taxonomy places the organism in Eukaryota, Metazoa, Chordata, Mammalia, Carnivora, Mustelidae.